UACGUAGGGGGCAAGCGUUGGUCCGGAUUUAUUGGGCGUAAAGAGCGUGUAGGCGGCUAAAUAGGUCUGUUGUGAAAAACUCGAGGCUCAACCUCGAGAUGCCGAUGGAAACCAUUUGGCUAGAGUCCGGAAGAGGAGAGUGGAAUUCCCGGUGUAGCGGUGAAAUGCGCAGAUAUCGGGAAGAACACCCGUGGCUAAGGCGGCUCUCUAGUACGGUACUGACGCUGAGACGCGAAAGCGUGGGGAGCGAACGAGG
RNAcentral lists this ribosomal RNA (256 nucleotides) under uncultured bacterium. RNAcentral's name for it is "partial 16S ribosomal RNA". It matches the Rfam family "Bacterial small subunit ribosomal RNA", at positions 524 to 777 of the family's 1533-position model. The record is from RNAcentral.